RNAcentral lists this ribosomal RNA (472 nucleotides) under uncultured bacterium. Its description in RNAcentral is "partial 16S ribosomal RNA". It matches the Rfam family "Bacterial small subunit ribosomal RNA", at positions 28 to 507 of the family's 1533-position model. The record is from RNAcentral.
GAUGAACGCUGGCGGCGUGCCUAAUACAUGCAAGUCGAGCGAACAGACGAGGAGCUUGCUCCUCUGACGUUAGCGGCGGACGGGUGAGUAACACGUGGAUAACCUACCUAUAAGACUGGGAUACCUUCGGGAAACCGGAGCUAAUACCGGAUAAUAUAUUGAACCUCAUGGUUCAAUAGUGAAAGACGGUUUUGCAGUCACUUAAGGACGGAUCGGCGCCGCAUUAGGUAGUUGGUAAGGUAAGGGCUUACCAAGGCGACGAUGCGUAGCCGGUCUGAGAGGAUGAUCGGCCACACUGGGACUGAGACACGGUCCAGACUCCUACGGGAGGCAGCAGUGGGGAAUCUUGCGCAAUGGGCGAAAGCCUGACGGAGCCAUGCCGCGUGAAUGAUGAAGGUCUUAGGAUUGUAAAAUUCUUUCACCGGGGACGAUAAUGACGGUACCCGGAGAAGAAGCCCCGGCUAACUUCGUG